AUUGAACGCUGGCGGCAGGCCUAACACAUGCAAGUCGAGCGGAUGAAGGGAGCUUGCUCCUGGAUUCAGCGGCGGACGGGUGAGUAAUGCCUAGGAAUCUGCCUGGUAGUGGGGGAUAACGUCCGGAAACGGGCGCUAAUACCGCAUACGUCCUGAGGGAGAAAGUGGGGGAUCUUCGGACCUCACGCUAUCAGAUGGGCCUAGGUCGGAUUAGCUAGUUGGUGGGGUAAAGGCCUACCAAGGCGACGAUCCGUAACUGGUCUGAGAGGAUGAUCAGUCACACUGGAACUGAGACACGGUCCAGACUCCUACGGGAGGCAGCAGUGGGGAAUAUUGGACAAUGGGCGAAAGCCUGAUCCAGCCAUGCCGCGUGUGUGAAGAAGGUCUUCGGAUUGUAAAGCACUUUAAGUUGGGAGGAAGGGCAGUAAGCUAAUACCUUGCUGUUUUGACGUUACCAACAGAAUAAGCACCGGCUAACUUCGUG
This 484-nucleotide ribosomal RNA is filed under the name uncultured bacterium. RNAcentral's name for it is "partial 16S ribosomal RNA". It matches the Rfam family "Bacterial small subunit ribosomal RNA", at positions 30 to 507 of the family's 1533-position model. The record is from RNAcentral.